Molecule: long non-coding RNA, 203 nt
Filed under: Solanum tuberosum (potato)
Lineage: Eukaryota; Viridiplantae; Streptophyta; Magnoliopsida; Solanales; Solanaceae
Description: long non-coding RNA (STUB_LNC008021)
Source: RNAcentral
CCACAUUCAUGAUGAAACUACUGAAAUGCCAAAAUUAUCACUCCCUCUGUCUCACUCGAUGGAUUGAGUAACCUCAGCCUUUAUUAACAUCUGUAAUAAAAUGACUACAUCAAAUGUAACAGAUUAUGUUUCCAGCACACUCCAAAGAUAGUCACAACAUAUCCUUUGCUUGGAUAGGACUAAAAGGAUGGUGUUGAACUAUA